Molecule: ribosomal RNA, 460 nt
Filed under: uncultured bacterium
Lineage: Bacteria
Description: partial 16S ribosomal RNA
Rfam family: Bacterial small subunit ribosomal RNA
Source: RNAcentral
CCUACGGGCGGCAGCAGUGAGGAAUAUUGGACAAUGGCCGGAAGGCUGAACCAGCCAUGCCGCGUGAAGGUCAAUGCCCUAUGGGCGUUAAACUUCUUUUGUUCGGGAUGAAUAAUGGUCACGGAUGGCCAGACGAGAGUACCGUACGAAUAAACAUCGCCUAACUCCGGGCCAGCAGCGGCGGUAAUACGGGGGAUGCAAGCGUUAUCCGGAGUUAUUGGGUUUAAAGGGUGCGUAGGGUGUGAGGUAAGUUAGAGGUGAAAUGCCCCAGCUCAACGGGGUGAAGUGCCAUUGAUACUGCCGUGCUGGAAUGAGGAUGCGGUGGGAGGAAUGUGUGGUGUAGCGGUGAAAUGCAUAGAUAUCACGCAGAACACCGAUUGCGAAGGCAUCUCACGAAUCCGCGAUUGACGCUGAUGCACGAAAGCGUGGGUAUCAAACAGGAUUAGAUACCCGAGUAGUC